UCAGAACGAAGUCAAGUCUGCAGAUCUUCAGCAAGAAUUUCCAUCAGGGAUAUUGGAAGCCGAGUUGAACCAAAAAGCUAUGGACUCUUAGAUCCUGCAAAUGGAAAUGGUUUGAAGGUGGAUUAUUCAUUUUCAUCUGAAAUUUCAAGCAUAUCACCUCUACUUGUAUGUGUAGAAGUUUCUUUUGAGAACUGUUCCACUGAGAACAUUUCAGAAGUGAGGUUGGUGGAUGAGGAAUAUAACAAAGCUUCAGAUUCUACUGAAAGCUCCUUGACAUCUCACAGUGAUGUCCCUGUACUGGUUCCUAUGGAAGAGAUAACUUUUUUGGAGCCAGGUCAGAGGACAAAGAGGAUUCUCCAUGUUCGAUUCCUUCAUCAUUUACUGCCUUUGAAGCUGGCCUUACAUUGUAAUGGUAAGAAGCUCCCUGUCAAGUUGCGGCCUGACAUUGGAUAUUUUGUGAAACCACUUCCAAUGAACAUUGAAGCCUUCACAGAUAAAGAGUCUCAUCUCCCUGGAAUGUUUGAGUACAUGAGAAGUUGCACCUUCACUCACCACAUUGAAGAGCUGAACAAGGACAAGGGUGACAUGUUAAUGAGAGACAAAUUUCUCUUGGUCUGUGAGAGCCUAGCUGUAAAGAUGCUUAGCAAUGCUAAUGUUUUUCUCGUAUCUGUUGACAUGCCAGUUGCUGCCAAUCUUGAUGAUGCCUCUGGUUUAUGCUUACGAUUCAGCAGUGAGAUUCUGAGCAACGCAUUUCCCUGCUUAAUUACCAUUACUGCUGAAGGUAAAUGCAUUGAACCAUUGAAUGUGUCUAUAAAAGUCAACUGCGAGGAAACUGCUUUUGGCUUAAAUCUAUUGAACAGGAUUGUGAAUUUCCUUAGUUGAGCCUUGCUCACCCACUUGUAUUGGUUGAUUGUGGUAAAAGGUUGGGACUCAUUGAGCGUUGAGUUCAGCAAAAAUACUGAUGAACCAUCAGAGAAUGUCCUUGAUGCUGUUGUGUUAAACAGUAAUUGCAUUUUUUAA
This 1020-nucleotide unclassified non-coding RNA is filed under the name Hevea brasiliensis (rubber tree). The record is from RNAcentral. Lineage: Eukaryota; Viridiplantae; Streptophyta; Magnoliopsida; Malpighiales; Euphorbiaceae.